Molecule: long non-coding RNA, 322 nt
Filed under: Mustela putorius furo (domestic ferret)
Lineage: Eukaryota; Metazoa; Chordata; Mammalia; Carnivora; Mustelidae
Description: lncRNA (ENSMPUG00000029100.1)
Source: RNAcentral
GCAGCAUCAGUUAUGUAAUUCCUGUGCAACCCCAAGUUCCCACCAGCGUUGAGCUUGACCUUCAAAACACUCCCCAGAAACUGGAGUGAGAAAUGUUGAAAUGCCACAUGAAAGGCCUUGCUUAGAGGGUUUCCAGCUGAGACUGGAGAUUGAAGUGGCGAACAUUCUCACAAGGGAUCCAGGCCUUCAGGAUAUUUCCAAACAAACCUUGUGGCCCCUUGGGGACAAGGGUAAACUUACGGCAUAUUGGGUUUGUCCAACACGGAUGCAGAGCAGACCGGAGCAAGGCAGAGUGAGCUCUGGCUGCUAUUUUGUGACAUGA